CCUACGGGUGACAGCAGUGAGGAAUAUUGGUCAAUGCACGCAAGUCUGAACCAGCCAUGCCGCGUGCAGGAAGACGGCUCUAUGAGUUGUAAACUGCUUUUGUACGAGGGUAAACGCAGAUACGCGUCUCUGUCUGAAAGUAUCGUACGAAUAAGGAUCGGCUAACUCCGUGCCAGCAGCCGCGGUAAUACGGAGGAUUCAAGCGUUAUCCGGAUUUAUUGGGUUUAAAGGGUGCGUAGGCGGUCGGAUAAGUUAGAGGUUAAAUCCCGAGGCUCAACUUCGGAAUGGCCUCUGAUACUGUUCGGCUAGAGAGUAGUUGCGGGAGGCGGAAUGUAUGGUGUAGCGGUGAAAUGCUUAGAGAUCAGACAGAACACCGAUUGCGAAGGCAGCUUACCAAGCUACUUCUGACGUUGAGGCACGAAAGCGUGGGGAGCAAACAGGAUUAGAUACCCGAGUAGUC
Molecule: ribosomal RNA, 460 nt
Filed under: uncultured bacterium
Lineage: Bacteria
Description: partial 16S ribosomal RNA
Rfam family: Bacterial small subunit ribosomal RNA
Source: RNAcentral